Medicago truncatula (barrel medic) is the source of this 592-nucleotide long non-coding RNA. RefSeq lists it as uncharacterized. The record is from RefSeq and is a predicted model, not a curated record. Lineage: Eukaryota; Viridiplantae; Streptophyta; Magnoliopsida; Fabales; Fabaceae. The transcript has 4 exons.
AUUCUUGAAUGGAAUGCAAGCACUGCUCAUAAAAUGUGUUAGUUUUCUUUCUAAAUGUAUGUUUAGAAAAGUUGCAUUUUUGGAUAUAACUUGCUGGUGUGGGUGCUUCAAGCACUGUUUAGAAUAUAAAUCAACAACUCGAAUAUAACAAGCAAGCACUGCUCAAUAAUAGGGCAGCAACCUAGUGAGUUAUGAUGAGAGACACCCACUUCCCCACCUAGAUUCACAUACUCAAUGGGAUAUGGUUGAGUUUGGGGAUCUGGAAGAAGCAUUAGUUCAGCAAGGAGUCAAAAGUGGACAUGAUGAAAACAAAGACAUGGAAAGAAAACAUAAGAGAACUCCAGAGAAAUGUGUUGAAUAUUGAAUCAAAUUAUGGGAAAAGAGAUCUGGCAAAACAAAGUGGAAGGAAAUGGAAGAUGGAUGGGAAAUAUGACAAUUAUAUAUGUCCACAAGUUUAAGCUGUGUAUAUACUUUAUUUAUUUGUUUAUAGGGUGUCUCUCAUUUAAGCUGUGGAAGGAAAUGGAAGAUUGAGGGUGGAGCGUAUGUGUUUAUAAUAUUUUUUGUGUGUAGCCUGACAUCAUUACUUUCUCAA